This 491-nucleotide ribosomal RNA is filed under the name uncultured bacterium. RNAcentral's name for it is "bacterial SSU rRNA". It matches the Rfam family "Bacterial small subunit ribosomal RNA", at positions 28 to 518 of the family's 1533-position model. The record is from RNAcentral.
GAUGAACGCUAGCGGCAGGCUUAACACAUGCAAGUCGAGGGGCAGCACGUCUUCGGAUGGUGGCGACCGGCGCACGGGUGCGUAACGCGUAUACAACCUACCUUAUAGAGGGGAAUAGCCCAGAGAAAUUUGGAUUAAUGCCCCAUAGUAUUAUUGAAUAGCAUUAUUUGAUGAUUAAACAUUUAUGGCUAUAAGAUGGGUAUGCGUUCUAUUAGCUAGAUGGUAAGGUAACGGCUUACCAUGGCAACGAUAGAUAGGGGUCCUGAGAGGGAGAUCCCCCACACUGGUACUGAGACACGGACCAGACUCCUACGGGAGGCAGCAGUGAGGAAUAUUGGACAAUGGGCGAGAGCCUGAUCCAGCCAUGCCGCGUGCAGGAAGACGGCCCUAUGGGUUGUAAACUGCUUUUAUACGGGAAGAAACACUCCUUCGUGAAGGAGCUUGACGGUACCGUAAGAAUAAGGAUCGGCUAACUCCGUGCCAGCAGCCGC